RNAcentral lists this ribosomal RNA (519 nucleotides) under Alternaria sp. UASWS1549. Its description in RNAcentral is "eukaryotic LSU rRNA". The stretch from base 214 to 367 matches the Rfam family "5.8S ribosomal RNA". Lineage: Eukaryota; Fungi; Ascomycota; Dothideomycetes; Pleosporales; Pleosporaceae. The record is from RNAcentral.
AAAAAUCGUAACAAGGUCUCCGUAGGUGAACCUGCGGAGGGAUCAUUACACAAAUAUGAAGGCGGGCUGGAACCUCUCGGGGUUACAGCCUUGCUGAAUUAUUCACCCUUGUCUUUUGCGUACUUCUUGUUUCCUUGGUGGGUUCGCCCACCACUAGGACAAACAUAAACCUUUUGUAAUUGCAAUCAGCGUCAGUAACAAAUUAAUAAUUACAACUUUCAACAACGGAUCUCUUGGUUCUGGCAUCGAUGAAGAACGCAGCGAAAUGCGAUAAGUAGUGUGAAUUGCAGAAUUCAGUGAAUCAUCGAAUCUUUGAACGCACAUUGCGCCCUUUGGUAUUCCAAAGGGCAUGCCUGUUCGAGCGUCAUUUGUACCCUCAAGCUUUGCUUGGUGUUGGGCGUCUUGUCUCUAGCUUUGCUGGAGACUCGCCUUAAAGUAAUUGGCAGCCGGCCUACUGGUUUCGGAGCGCAGCACAAGUCGCACUCUCUAUCAGCAAAGGUCUAGCAUCCAUUAAGCCUU